AGCUGUGAGCAGUGGCAGUAUCGCAGCCAAUGAGGUUUACCCAAGGCACCAUUAUUGCUAAUCGAAAACUUUUCCCAAUCCCCCUUGAAAUAUAAUUGAUGAGUUGAAAUAUAAUUGACCUUGACGACUUGAAAUAUAAUUGGCAUUGGCAACUUUUGACAGUUUCUACAGAGA
This 174-nucleotide small nuclear RNA is filed under the name Microcebus murinus (gray mouse lemur). RNAcentral's name for it is "U4 spliceosomal RNA (ENSMICG00000023852.3)". It matches the Rfam family "U4 spliceosomal RNA". Rfam says of the family: U4 small nuclear RNA (U4 snRNA) is a component of the major U2-dependent spliceosome. The structure of U4 snRNA from yeast and human has been reported. The record is from Rfam by way of RNAcentral. Lineage: Eukaryota; Metazoa; Chordata; Mammalia; Primates; Cheirogaleidae.